GGAUAAUCCACAACCUAUAAAACGCCUUAAGAAUUUCAAGAAGAGGGGUAAUCCACUCUCUCCAAGAAGAAUAAGACUCCAAUAUUGUAACAGAAGAAGUAUCAGUUUAGAGGAGGGUAAUCCGCAACCUCUAAAAAAUGCUAGUAUACCUUCAAGUAGAGAGGUAAUCCACACUCUACUAAGAAAGAACUAGCUCUGAUAUCUCAAGUUAGUGUAGUCUCGAUAAACUGUCACGGACACAAAAUACAGACUUGAA
RNAcentral lists this long non-coding RNA (256 nucleotides) under Physcomitrium patens. RNAcentral describes it as "long non-coding RNA (PPAT_LNC001596)". Lineage: Eukaryota; Viridiplantae; Streptophyta; Bryopsida; Funariales; Funariaceae. The record is from RNAcentral.